Non-coding RNA from Triticum urartu, 7916 nucleotides. The record is from RefSeq and is a predicted model, not a curated record. Lineage: Eukaryota; Viridiplantae; Streptophyta; Magnoliopsida; Poales; Poaceae.
UAUUCCCCCCCUUUACUGCUGCCAACAUAGUACUGCGGCGACCGACCAAACGUGCCACAAAACCCACACCGCCAGCCAGCCCAUCUCCGCCGGCGGCCUCCGGCGCGGCGACCGGCCUCCGCUCCGCUCCCCUCCCACCCCACCCCACCGCCGCCCGCCGCCCCUUCCCCGGUCGCCGUGCCCCGUCGGCACAGGCGCGCCUCGCGAGCCCGUCCCCUGCCCCGUGCCCUGGAGGCCCAAACCCUAGCCGGCGCGGCGGGCGGGCGUGGCGUCAGGGCCGAUGGACGACACCCUGGCCAAUAUACGGAAGAAGCUGAAACGGCUGAAGAAGGGCAAGGACGAGGAUGACGCCGUCGACGCCCCUGCGGAUCCCGACGGCGGCGAGGCCGUCGCCGUCGCCGCCGGGCCGGAAGAUCUGCCGGGCGGCGGCGAUGUCGAGGACAUGGGCGAGGGCGUCGCCGACGAGGGCGGCGACCUGGAGGCCGUCGCGAAUGUGGUUCCUGGGGAGGACGGCUUGAAAGCCCCCGGUGGUGAUCUAGGGUUGGGGGAUGGCUUGAAAGGUCCCGGCGGUGAUUUAGGGUUGGGGGACUCCCUGUCGGUGCUCUUCAGGAAGCCUGGCCGCAAGACUCGGCAGCAGGCCUCGAAGGAUGAGGAGGCAGAGGGCGUGGAGGCUGCCGAUUCGCAGGCAGAGGAGGCUCUCAAUGGCGGAUCUGGUGGCCUGGCUUCGGAUGAGACUGCCAAGGGCACCAAGAAGAGGCGGAGGCGGCGCACCAAGGCGGAGAUGGAGGAGAUGAGAGCUGCCCUCGCCGCUGAGAAUUACGACAACGCAAUGGCAGGCGAUGGGUCUCCCAGGAGGAGGUCAAGGGCGAAGCCAAAGGCUGCUUAUUCUGAUAGGCGUUCUAGGGCUGCCGCCCGUCGAGCCGUUGAAGAAGUGCCCGUUGGAGAAUUGGCGGCCCCUGAGCCUCCCCCUGAUUUGGAAAGGAAGCCCAAUGAGAAAGAAGAGGCUGUGGAUAAAGAAGAGGCUGCAGAUGAUGGUUUAUCACUGGGAGAGACGCUUCUGCAAGACGUGGAAACCAGCAGAGUUGUGGAGGGUGGAUCUAGAAACUCUUCUGAUGGGGCAAGUCAUUGUGUCGAAGUUCCAGCAAGGGCUGAUAACUGCAUUGCCUUAAAUCCUUGUUCAGGAGGAGAACCUGCUGAAAAAGCAUCUCACAGUGCAGCAAAUGCAUCCGCUGAUGGUGUUUCUGAUGCACAGACAUGCUCCGAAACCUUGGCAGAGGAUAUAAAUGCCGAUGCAGGUUUUUCUCAAGAUAAGCCACCUGCACCAACCAUCAAAAGGAAACCUGGUCGAAAACCAAAAGAAGCGCCCAAGAAACCUGUUAGAAGGAAGGAGUUGCCUUCGGUUAGUGCUGAUGCUAAACCAGUUGAGAUAGCAGAAAGUGAUGCGUCGUCGAAGCAGCGGCGGCGCAAAAAUAAAUUUCUCUUGGCAAGGUCUACCGCUGUGCAGUCUAAUUCCUCGCUGGACAAUAAAGCAGGUAGUACAGGCGACGUUAAAUAUGGCAAUAUCAAACCAAAUGCAGCUGUGCCAACAGAAGAAAGCUUAGAUCAGCCAGCUGCUUAUGGGGUUCAUGGGUCCCGUGCCGCCAAGGAUUCACGUGCCUCUCAUAACAUGGCAGCAUCUGCAAAAGAAAUCAAUAUCAUUGACGUGGCAGCGCCAUCCAAUUUUGAGGACAUGGAGAAUGCAUCAAAGGUGAAACGCCUAACACGGAAUACUAGGAAACGUAAACAUGGUGACAUGGCAUACGAGGGAGAUGAUGAUUGGGAAACUCUGAUGCAUGAGCAGGGGCUGUUCUCAAACCCCUCAGCAGGUUUUGCAGAUCAAUCUGUCAAACCAAAAGAUAAAAUUAAAGCGCUGGAAGUUCUUGAGAAUCAAGGUGUUGCUGCUGUAAGUGCUGGCCUAAUGGCGGAGGCUGUUUCUCCAAUGGAAAAGAUAAAAUUCAAGGAUGUCCUGAAGCGGAAGGGUGGCCUUAAGGACUACCUGGAGUGCAGGAACAUGAUCCUAAGUUGCUGGAACAAGGAUGUUAAACAUCUAUUGGAUCUUGCCGAUUGUGGUCUUUCUAAUGCUCCCAUGGAAGAUGAUUCACCACGUCAAACACUUAUACGUGACGUGUACUGUUUCUUAGAUCAGAAUGGUUACAUAAAUGCUGGAAUCGCAUCAGCCAAGGCGACAAAGGGUCAUGGAAUUCCUUGUUCCGAGGUUGUGGAAGUAGCCAAGUUAAAUGAAUUACCUAAAAUGGAGCAAGUCAGGGUUGAAGGUGACGUUGUUGCUGUAUCUCUCCAGAAUAAAGAUGAUGAUUAUGGUGCUUUGGGACCUUUGACAGAAGAAUCGAAGGAAAAUAAUGUCCCUGACGCUCAUUGCGAUGCCCAAGAGUUGAUACCUCACUUACAGUCCAAAGAACAGGCAUCUGAAGAAAAGAAUCUAGAUGUAUCAACUGAAGGUGGAGAUGCAUUUCUACCACCGAUCAAUAUUACUUCAGUUGGAAACACUGAAGGCCCCAGUCUCGAUAAACCAGAAGCAGCUGUUAUCGAACAUCCUGGAAACAACUGUGAGGUAAAUCAUAAAGUUGAAUCUGGAGGGCGCUGCAAAAAGAUAAUCAUUGUGGGAGCUGGUCCAGCCGGUUUAACUGCAGCACGCCAUUUGCAGCGUCAAGGUUUUGCUGUCACUGUUCUUGAAGCACGUGAUAGGAUUGGUGGUCGUGUUUAUACAGACCGUACAUCGCUUUCAGUUCCUGUGGAUUUGGGUGCUAGCAUUAUUACAGGUGUGGAGGCUGAUAUAGCAACUGAACGAAGGGCUGAUCCAUCCUCUUUGAUUUGUUCUCAGCUUGGUCUUGAACUGACUGUACUGAAAAGUGCUUGCCCUCUCUAUGAUGUAGUAACUGGCAACAAGGUUCCCGAUGAAUUGGAUGAUGAGUUGGAAUCUGAAUACAACGGCCUUCUUGAUGAAAUGGAACAACUUUUUGAACAAAAUGGUGAAAGUGCACUGGGUUUAUCCCUUGAGGAUGGGUUGGAAUAUACUCUUAGGAAGAAACGUGCAUCCCAUGUUGUUUCUUCUGUGGGACAUGAUGGUCAGUUAAUAAGUAUGUCCAAUAGAGGAGGUGUAGACAUUUCCAAAAGUGCUUCAACAGAAAAGGAGAUAGCUCAUUGUGGGGAGGAUGGUGAGAUAGAUGUUCUCAGCCCUCUUGAAAGAAGAGUUAUGAACUGGCACUUUGCACAUUUAGAGUACGGUUGUGCUGCAAUGCUCAAAUCUGUCUCUCUUCCGUACUGGAACCAAGAUGAUGUGUAUGGAGGGUUCGGAGGACCUCAUUGCAUGAUUAAAGGUGGUUAUGGCGCUGUUCUUGAGAGCCUUGCAGAAGGACUUGAUGUUCAGUUAAAUCAUGUUGUAACCGAAGUAAUGUACAGGCCUGAGGAGUCAGAUGCUAGUGGCAUCAAUGGGAAAACUGUUAAAGUUUCCACUUCGAAUGGAGCUGAAUUUGUGGGAGAUGCUGUGUUGAUCACUGUUCCUCUUGGGUGCUUGAAAGCACAUGCAAUCAAAUUUUCUCCUUCCUUGCCGGACUGGAAAACAUCUUCCAUUGACAGGCUUGGAUUUGGUGUUCUAAAUAAAAUAGUAUUGGAGUUUCCUGAGGUCUUUUGGGAUGAAAAUGUGGAUUAUUUUGGUGCAACUGCGGAACAAACAGAUUUAAGGGGACAAUGCUUUAUGUUUUGGAAUCUCAAAAAGACAGUCGGCGCACCAGUUAUAAUAGCUCUACUUGUUGGGAAGGCUGCUAUAGAUGGACAGAGUAUCAGUUCUGAUGCUCAUGUUAGCCAUGCUAUGGUGGUUCUCCGUAAGCUCUUUACGGAUGCUGCUGUACCAGAUCCAGUGGCAUCAGUUGUCACAAAUUGGGGCCUUGAUCCUUUUAGUAGAGGUGCUUACUCUUAUGUUGCAGUAGGAGCAUCAGGUCAAGAUUAUGACAUCAUAGGACGGCCAGUUGCAAACUGUUUAUUUUUUGCUGGGGAAGCAACAUGCAAAGAGCAUCCAGAUACUGUUGGUGGUGCAAUUUUAAGUGGUCUUCGAGAAGCAGUUCGGAUUAUUGACUUGGUACACAGUGGUAAGGAUUAUGUGGCUGAGGUGGAAGCUCUACAAACAUACCAAGUGCAGUCAGAUAGUGAAAGAAAUGAAGUCAGAGACAUGUCAAAUAGACUUGAAGCACGUGAACUGUCAACUGCUCUAUGCAAAAACUCAUCUGAUGCAUCAUAUGCAGUAGCUAGCAAGGAAUCUGUACUGCAAGAAAUGUUUUUCAGUGCGAACACUACACCAGGGCGCCUACAUUUGGCCAAGGAGCUACUGAAACUCCCUCCAGAUGCUCUUAAAUCAUUCGCUGGGUCUAAAGAAGGGCUAACUAAACUGAACUCUUGGAUACUUGAUUCACUGGGAAAAAAUGCAACUCAACUGUUGCGGCAUUGUGUACGCUUGCUUUUGCUUGUUUCGACCGAUCUGGUAGCUGUUCGCUUGUCUGGAAUUGGGAGGACUGUAAAGGAAAAGGUCUGUGUGCAUACUAGUCGAGAUAUUCGUGCCAUAGCUCGCCAGUUGGUCAGUAUGUGGAUAGAAGUUUUCCGUAAAGAAAAGGCUAGCAACGGUGCUCUCAAAAUGCUGCGCCGAUUGCCAUCAGUUGAAUCGAGCAAGACUAGGAGUAAGGAUCUACAUUCAGGAAUGCGCACUUCGCAUGUGCCAAAUGAAGCAGGUGCACAGCGUGUAAGAUCUGCUGGGAGCCAUUCACCUCACAGAACUGGCAAGAAGCCUGACAAGAUUGUGAAAUUAUCUAGUAUAAUGGCUACAAAAUCUGAUGGCUGCUCACUUCGUUCCCAGAAGCAACACCAUGAUCCGGAACCCAAGGCUGAUCAAGGCAUGGUUAUGUCUGAGGAAGAAGCUGCUGUAUUUGCUGCUGCGGAGGCUGCUCGAGUUGCUGCCAUAGCAGCUGCACAGGCAUAUGCAUCCGCAGAGGCAGUGAUAAGUAAGCCUCGGGAGCUCCCAAAGAUACCAUCAUUUGGAGAUUUUGCAAGGCGUGAUCAUCAUUUGGACGAAUCUGAUACAAGAAAGAAAAUGACAAGUGACAAGCAUGGGAGACUUGAAUGCAUAUCGGAGAUUGAUUCCAGGAAUGGCAAAACUAAGAACUCAUCAGCUGAGCACGCCAAUUGUCCUGAUGUUGACAGCUCGAAAAUGACUGUUGAUAACUGUACCCAGAGGAGCUAUUCAAACGAGAAAGCCUGCCUAAUUAAUAUUAAGGACAAUUCUGCAGAGAGUGGAGCUGUAGACAGUCGUUUUACUAGGGCAUGGGUUGAUACUGAUGCAGUCUCCAUUGAUGGUGUCAAACAUCCCAUAGCCAUUGAGAGGUGGCAAGCACAAGCAAUGGAAGCAGAUAAAGAAUUCUACAGUCGGAUACGCAUACCCAUGGAGGAAGGUUCAGGUAGCCAAAAGCAGACAUGCAAAAGUUCUGCCUCGCAGGUUGCGGAAAGCAAACCUGCAUCAGAAGGACAAUCCCGAGGUGUAGAACAUAUAAAACAGGGGCUGAUAGCUUUCAUUAGCACACUACUGAUGCCACUGUACAAAAGUAAAAAGAUCGACAGGGAGGCAUACAAGACAAUGAUGCGGAAAGCUGUCACAAAGAUAAUUGAUGCAUGCACCGAGGGAGAGAAGCUGAUGACUGCCAAUGAAUUUCUUGAUUUUAGAAGGAAAACUAAGAUUCAAACAUUUGUGGAUAAGUUGGUCGAGAGGCAUUGGCAUGUGGCUCCAGCCCCCAAAUCAUAGCAUUUACAUAUAUAGGAAGCUGUUACAUGUGGAGAAGCAAAUUUCACCUUGCAGACUAUGCUGUCGCUCAUCAGGCAUUGGCUCCAUGGGACCUAAAAGAAGCAGACAUGGUUUCACAAGCCUUGGGGGCAAAACCGAACCAUGAACCAGAUUGACACAUUCAUCCUUGUAUUGAAGUUGAUAUCACCUCCAUCAUCAUCAUCAUCGUUGCAAUGGCUUCCUAGACCUCUGUGCACUCAGACAAACAUGGCUGCGCAUGCAGUGAACUUGUGUGAUGAGUUGAACUCUAUGGCUUGUACCGAAGUGGCAAAUGAAGAUCUGGGAUGAAUUCAAGCAUUCCGCAUGGUCUCAACAUGCAAGGGUGGCUCGAAUGUAUCCCUGGACAGUAGUUUUAGGUCAGCGUAGCAGAACCCAUGUUGUUGUUUGUUCAGAGAAAACUGACACCAGACUAGACCCCAUCUUUUCUCCGUUUGUUGUACAGACCAUAGCUCCGUAUCCUGUUCCUAGCAAUCACCUAACUCAUAGUCGGUCGUGUUAAAAGUCGUCGCGGUUUGGCGGAGAUGGUUGGCAUCUGCAGGUUGCUGCAGCCCUCUGUAUAUCCCCCAGCUGCUUAUACUGGUCACCAUUUAUGACUGCUAAGUGCCAGAAGGAUAAUACUUUGGAACCGGCGACCUCUGGUCUCGGUGUUAUCGGACGAAACCUGUGCCGCUCCCUGGCUGUAGCAGGGGUAUCGAGUUAAGAGAUGGCUUCACCUUGUUGGUCUAUCCUUUUAGUGUUGUUUCGCAGCUUCGAGUUUUCUCUGUAUUCUCACGCCAUGGCAGAGUUGGUAUCAUGCUCAGAUAUGUCUUUUUCCGUCCCAUUAUUAUGUUUUUGCCUAUUUCCAUGCUUCAGUUACUUCCAUGUCAUACCUGCCUUUUGUAUAUUUACACGUGUCACUUAUUUCAAUGUCAUACUUGCCUUUUUGUACAUGCAAUUAAUGCUUUUAAUUAUCUCUGGUCUCGGUGUCAUUGCAUGAAACCUGUGCUGCUUGCUCCCUGGCCGUAGCUGGGGUGUCGAGUUGAGAUAGAUGGCUUUACCUCGUUGGCCUAUCUUUUUGUGUUGUCGCAGCUUUGAUUUUUCUCUGUAUUUUCACGUCAUGGCAGAGUGGGUUUCAUGUUCAGAUAUGUUUUUUCUUUUCUUUUCUUUCUAUUGUUAUGUUUUUGUGUAUUUCCAUGCUUCAGUUACUGCCAUGUCAUACCUGUCUUUUUUGUCCAUAUCCAUGCGAUAUCUAUUUUUCCAUGUGCCUUUUGUGUGUGUGUAUAUAUAUAUAUCUAUCUAAUUAAUGCUUUUAAUUAUCUACCAUUCUUUCCUGCAUAACUUGACUCCUACUCUGGCAAUGCCUCUGCAGGACAAUAUAUUUUGCUGGUUCCAGCGCCAUCACAUCAAACUUGUGCCGCUGCUUCCUGGCUGCCUGUAGCACGGGCAUGGAGCAACAAGAGUUGGCUUCACUUUGCCGGCCUAUUUUUCUGCCCCCUCCGAUGGAGAUGCCGAAUCAUCAAGGAAUUCAGACGCUGUCUUCUGCUGUGAUGAUCCAUAUCCAUAUCCAUAUCAGGAGGAUUCCAGACAGAGAAAACCCAGCCCCAAGACCUUGAAUGAAUUACCUUGGAUGAGCCGCUGGGCGCUGGGACGGAGGCGAUGGAGCUGUGCAUAGCAUUGUCCAUGGCAGGAUGAGCCUACCUGGGCACACGCCCUGCCUUGGUGGAAAAGUAAAUGAGGCCUCGGAUGGAGUACAAAGUAUGUAUAUGUUGGUGCCUUUCAGUUUUACUCUCCUGUAAACCGAACUUUUAUGGGAAAAAUUACCGAGUUCCGUGGAUAUGUUUGAAAAAAAAGGGUGCUUGUUUAGCUGAAGAGAUUGCUCUGUUGUGGUAAAAGAACUGCAAAAACAGAAAAGGACAUGAUUAUUAUACGUCUAACCAGUUUUGUGCUGCUGUAGCCACAAACACACAAUAUUGUUUUUUGAGGAGCACAAAUACACAACUAUGUAUUUAUUUUUGGGUACGCAAAUAUGUAACUGGAAAUGUGGCAGAUUUUUAUUUUA